RNAcentral lists this ribosomal RNA (849 nucleotides) under uncultured bacterium. Its description in RNAcentral is "bacterial SSU rRNA". It matches the Rfam family "Bacterial small subunit ribosomal RNA", at positions 627 to 1475 of the family's 1533-position model. The record is from RNAcentral.
UGGAAACUGUNUGACUUGAGUGCAGAAGGGGAGAGUGGAAUUCCAUGUGUAGCGGUGAAAUGCGUAGAUAUAUGGAGGAACACCAGUGGCGAAAGCGGCUCUCUGGUCUGUCACUGACGCUGAGGCUNGAAAGCGUGGGUAGCGAACAGGAUUAGAUACCCUGGUAGUNCACGCCGUAAACGAUGAGUGCUAGGUGUUAGGCCCUUUCCGGGGCUUAGUGCCGGAGCUAACGCAAUAAGCACUCCGCCUGGGGAGUACGACCGCAAGGUUGAAACUCAAAGGAAUUGACGGGGGCCCGCACAAGCGGUGGAGCAUGUGGUUUAAUUCGAAGCAACGCGAAGAGCCUUACCAGGUCUUGACAUCCCGAUGCUAUUCUUAGAGAUAGGAAGUUACUUCGGUACAUCGGAGACAGGUGGUGCAUGGUUGUCGUCAGCUCGUGUCGUGAGAUGUUGGGUUAAGUCCCGCAACGAGCGCAACCCUUAUUGUUAGUUGCCAUCAUUAAGUUGGGCACUCUAGCGAGACUGCCGGUAAUAAACCGGAGGAAGGUGGGGAUGACGUCAAAUCAUCAUGCCCCUUAUGACCUGGGCUACACACGUGCUACAAUGGUCGGUACAACGAGUUGCGAGCCGGUGACGGCAAGCUAAUCUCUGAAAGCCGAUCUCAGUUCGGAUUGGAGGCUGCAACUCGCCUCCAUGAAGUCGGAAUCGCUAGUAAUCGCGGAUCAGCACGCCGCGGUGAAUACGUUCCCGGGCCUUGUACACACCGCCCGUCACACCACGAGAGUUUGUAACACCCGAAGUCGGUGAGGUAACCUUUUAGGGGCCAGCCGCCUAAGGUGGGANGGAUGAU